AGAGUUUGAUCAUGGCUCAGAACGUACGCUGGCGUCACGCCUAACACAUGCAAGUCGAACGAAGUAGCAAUACUUAGUGGCAGACGGGUGAGUAACAUGUAGGUAUCUACCCUUUGGCCUGGAAUAACACGAGGAAACUUGUGCUAAUACCGGAUAAGUCUUUACGGAGAAAGCUUUAUGCACCAUUGGAUGAGCCUGCACUUGAUUAGUUUGUUGGUAGGGUAAUGGCCUACCAAGACUGUGAUCAAUAGCUGAUUUGAGAGGAUGAUCAGCCACAUUGGGACUGAGACACGGCCCAAACUCCUACGGGAGGCAGCAGUGGGGAAUCUUGCACAAUGGAGGAAACUCUGAUGCAGCGAUGCCGCGUGAGUGAAGAAGGCCUUUGGGUUGUAAAGCUCUUUCGUCGGGGAAGAAAAUGACUGUACCCGAAUAAGAAGGUCCGGCUAACUUCGUGCCAGCAGCCGCGGUAAUACGAAGGGACCUAGCGUAGUUCGGAAUUACUGGGCUUAAAGAGUUCGUAGGUGGUUGAAAAAGUUGGUGGUGAAAUCCCAGAGCUUAACUCUGGAACUGCCAUCAAAACUUUUCAGCUAGAGUAUGAUAGAGGAAAGCAGAAUUUCUAGUGUAGAGGUGAAAUUCGUAGAUAUUAGAAAGAAUACCAAUUGCGAAGGCAGCUUUCUGGAUCAUUACUGACGCUGAGGAACGAAAGCAUGGGUAGCGAAGAGGAUUAGAUACCCUCGUAGUCCAUGCCGUAAACGAUGUGUGUUAGACGUUGGAAAUUUAUUUUCAGUGUCGCAGCGAAAGCGAUAAACACACCGCCUGGGGAGUACGACCGCAAGGUUAAAACUCAAAUGAAUUGACGGGGACCCGCACAAGUAGUGGAGCAUGUGGUUUAAUUCGAAGAUACGCGCAGAACCUUACCAACACUUGACAUGUUCGUCGCGACUUUAAGAGAUUAAAGUUUUCGGUUCGGCCGGACGAAACACAGGUGCUGCAUGGCUGUCGUCAGCUCGUGUCGUGAGAUGUUGGGUUAAGUCCCGCAACGAGCGCAACCCUCACUUUUAGUUGCCAUCAUUAAGUUGGGCACUCUGAAAGAACUGCCAGUGAUAAGCUGGAGGAAGGUGGGGAUGACGUCAAGUCCUCAUGGCCCUUACGUGUUGGGCUACACACGUGCUACAAUGGUAUCUACAACAGGAAGCAAGACUGCGAAGUUAAGCAAAUCCUUAAAAGAUACCUCAGUUCGGAUUGCACUCUGCAACUCGAGUGCAUGAAGCUGGAAUUACUAGUAAUCGUGGAUCAGCGUGCCACGGUGAAUGCGUUCCCGGGUCUUGUACACACCGCCCGUCACACCAUGGGAGUUGGUUCUACCUUAAGGCAAGGUUUUAAACCCUUGACCACGGUAUAGUCAGCGACUGGGGUGAAGUUGUAACAAGGUAACCG
RNAcentral lists this ribosomal RNA (1437 nucleotides) under uncultured bacterium. RNAcentral's name for it is "bacterial SSU rRNA". It matches the Rfam family "Bacterial small subunit ribosomal RNA". The record is from RNAcentral.